GCCUAUAUACCCCACAGGCACCGGAUCCUAUCUGAUUUUUGAAGUUAAGCAGGUUCAACUCUGGUUAGUACUUGGAUGAGAGACCACAUGUUAACCCAGGUCCUGUAGGCC
This 111-nucleotide ribosomal RNA is filed under the name Anolis carolinensis (green anole). Lineage: Eukaryota; Metazoa; Chordata; Lepidosauria; Squamata; Anolidae. The record is from RNAcentral.